RNAcentral lists this ribosomal RNA (478 nucleotides) under uncultured bacterium. RNAcentral's name for it is "partial 16S ribosomal RNA". It matches the Rfam family "Bacterial small subunit ribosomal RNA", at positions 28 to 507 of the family's 1533-position model. The record is from RNAcentral.
GAUGAACGCUGGCGGCGUGCUUAACACAUGCAAGUCGAACGAGAAGUGAAGACGGAAACCUUCGGGCGGAAGGCUUUAUUUCGAGUGGCGGACGGGUGAGUAACGCGUGGGUAACCUGCCUCAUACAGGGGGAUAACAGUUGGAAACGACUGUUAAUACCGCAUAAGACCACAGCACCGCAUGGUGCGGGGGUAAAAACUCCGGUGGUAUGAGAUUGACCCGCGUUCGAUUAGCCAGUUGGCGGGGUAACGGCCCACCAAAGCGACGAUCGAUAGCCGAUCUGAGAGGAUGACCGGCCACAUUGGGACUGAGACACGGCCCAAACUCCUACGGGAGGCAGCAGUGGGGAAUAUUGCACAAUGGGGGAAACCCUGAUGCAGCGACGCCGCGUGAGUGAAGAAGUAUUUCGGUAUGUAAAGCUCUAUCAGCAGGGAAGAAAAUGACGGUACCUGAGGAAGAAGCCCCGGCUAACUACGUG